GACGAACGCUGGCGGCGUGCCUAAUACAUGCAAGUAGAACGCACAGUUUAUACCGUAGCUUGCUACACCAUAGACUGUGAGUUGCGAACGGGUGAGUAACGCGUAGGUAACCUGCCUGGUAGCGGGGGAUAACUAUUGGAAACGAUAGCUAAUACCGCAUAAUAUUAAUUAUUGCAUGAUAAUUGAUUGAAAGAUGCAACUGCAUCACUACCAGAUGGACCUGCGCUGUAUUAGCUAGUAGGUGAGGUAACGGCUCACCUAGGCGACGAUACAUAGCCGACCUGAGAGGGUGAUCGGCCACACUGGGACUGAGACACGGCCCAGACUCCUACGGGAGGCAGCAGUAGGGAAUCUUCGGCAAUGGACGAAAGUCUGACCGAGCAACGCCGCGUGAGUGAAGAAGGUUUUCGGAUCGUAAAGCUCUGUUGUAAGAGAAGAACGGGUGUGAGAGUGGAAAGUUCACACUGUGACGGUAUCUUACCAGAAAGGGACGGCUAACUACGUG
RNAcentral lists this ribosomal RNA (505 nucleotides) under uncultured bacterium. Its description in RNAcentral is "partial 16S ribosomal RNA". It matches the Rfam family "Bacterial small subunit ribosomal RNA", at positions 28 to 507 of the family's 1533-position model. The record is from RNAcentral.